GACGAACGCUGGCGGCGUGCCUAAUACAUGCAAGUCGAGCGCAGGAAACUGACGGAACUCUUCGGAGGGAAGGCAGUGGAAUGAGCGGCGGACGGGUGAGUAACACGUAAGGAACCUGCCUCAAGGAUUGGGAUAACUCCGAGAAAUCGGAGCUAAUACCGGAUAGUUCAACGGACCGCAUGGUCCGCUGAAGAAAGGCGCUCCGGCGUCACCUUGAGAUGGCCUUGCGGUGCAUUAGCUAGUUGGUGGGGUAACGGCCCACCAAGGAGACGAUGCAUAGCCGACCUGAGAGGGUGAUCGGCCACACUGGGACUGAGACACGGCCCAGACUCCUACGGGAGGCAGCAGUAGGGAGUCUUCCACAAUGGACGAAAGUCUGAUGGAGCAACGCCGCGUGAGUGAUGAAGGUUUUCGGAUCGUAAAACUCUGUUGUAAGGGAAGAACACGUACGAGAGGAAAUGCUCGUACCUUGACGGUACCUUACGAGAAAGCCACGGCUAACUACGUGCCAGCCGCCGCGGUAA
This 524-nucleotide ribosomal RNA is filed under the name uncultured bacterium. RNAcentral describes it as "partial 16S ribosomal RNA". It matches the Rfam family "Bacterial small subunit ribosomal RNA", at positions 28 to 523 of the family's 1533-position model. The record is from RNAcentral.